RNAcentral lists this ribosomal RNA (368 nucleotides) under uncultured organism. RNAcentral describes it as "bacterial SSU rRNA". It matches the Rfam family "Bacterial small subunit ribosomal RNA", at positions 526 to 896 of the family's 1533-position model. The record is from RNAcentral.
CGUAGGUGGCAAGCGUUGUCCGGAUUUAUUGGGUUUAAAGGGUGCGUAGGCGGUUCCACAAGUCAGUGGUGAAAUACAAUAGCUUAACUAUUGAGGUGCCAUUGAUACUGCGGAACUUGAGUACAGACGAGGUAGGCGGAAUUGACGGUGUAGCGGUGAAAUGCUUAGAUAUCGUCAAGAACACCGAUAGCGAAGGCAGCUUACUAGACUGUAACUGACGCUGAGGCACGAAAGUGUGGGGAUCAAACAGGAUUAGAUACCCUGGUAGUCCACACUGUAAACGAUGAUUACUCGAUGUUGGCGAUACACAGCCAGCGUCUUAGCAAAAGCGAUAAGUAAUCCACCUGGGGAGUACGCCGGCAACGGUG